CGUCUGGAGAGUUUGAUCCUGGCUCAGGGCGAACGCUGGCGGCGUGCCUAAAACAUGCAAGUCGAGCGGGGGUUGGCCGCGGGGCAACCCGCGGUUUCAGCUCUAGCGGCGAACGGGUGAGUAACACGUGGGUAACCUACCCCGAAGACGGGGAUAACCCCGGGAAACCGGGGCUAAUACCCGAUACCCUCCUCUGGGGGCAUCCCCGGGGGAGGAAAGGGUUGGGCGCAAGCCCUUCCGCUUCGGGAUGGGCCCGCGGCCUAUCAGCUCGUUGGUGGGGUAACGGCCCACCAAGGCGAUGACGGGUAGCUGGCCUGAGAGGGUGGCCAGCCACACUGGCACUGAGACACGGGCCAGACUCCUACGGGAGGCAGCAGUUGGGAAUCUUGGGCAAUGGGCGCAAGCCUGACCCAGCGA
RNAcentral lists this ribosomal RNA (417 nucleotides) under Pseudomonadota bacterium. RNAcentral describes it as "partial 16S ribosomal RNA". It matches the Rfam family "Bacterial small subunit ribosomal RNA", at positions 1 to 394 of the family's 1533-position model. The record is from RNAcentral. RNAcentral also lists the same sequence under 1 other name. Lineage: Bacteria; Pseudomonadati; Pseudomonadota.